This 1194-nucleotide long non-coding RNA is filed under the name Hordeum vulgare. RNAcentral's name for it is "long non-coding RNA (HVUL_LNC000528)". Lineage: Eukaryota; Viridiplantae; Streptophyta; Magnoliopsida; Poales; Poaceae. The record is from RNAcentral.
UACACACAAUGACAAGGGGAUUCACGAAAAUAUUUCUCAACCCCAACCCAAAUCUUUCGUCACUGGUUCAACUUUCUCCUUCAAGUCCAACCACGACCUCGGCCGCUUUGUUUGGAGUUUCCCAUUAGAACUCCCAGCAAGCGCACGAGAAAUCACAUGCAUGUACUACAAAGACUGUGCUAGACAUGCUAGCGAAGCACAAGGAGUUUCCCAUUAGAACUCAAAGGCUGUGCUAGACAUGCUAGCGAAACACAAGGAGUAAUUAACAUACCUUUACCCUCAUGACAUGACGAACAUUUUUUCAAUUUAAGCAUUGAACAUGUCAGGAAACAUUCUGAGUUCUGAUGGACAUACAGUUUAAUACCAACCAAUUCAUAAAAUACUGCACUAGUCCUAAAGUUGAUGAGCUUAGAUGCACUUCUGAAUAGAAACUGUAUUAGUUUCUCUCUCGGAGCACUUUUUCCUCGCAAGGAACGCAGACAAGCAUCUAAACGGCACUCCUGUCAGAUGGGCAUUAAAAUGCCGAGCGCCCUCUAGGGUCCGACGAUGGAUUAGUGGAGUGGCUUGACCUUUUCCUCCUGAGGGUAUUCCAGGUGAAGCUACCCCCGUGCUGCAAACCACCAGCAGUGACUUCAUCUUCGUCGUUGUCGUCUUCGUUGUCGUCCUUGCUGUAGGAAGAAACUCCAGGUCUUCCUUUCUCUGGUGUCCAGGUUGAGUUGCCUGCACCAUUGGCGCUGUCAGAAUAUUUGAGCCUUUUUGCCCUAUCAUGUAAAUCAACCUCCUGUAUAUCGGAUAAAUAGGCACUCCGCUUUGCUCUUGGAGUCAUCUUUGGGAUGUCUUCGUAUACCUCGUCAGAUUUCAUCCAUUGAUCAACAUAAGAGUCUGAAUAGACAACCUCCUUCCUUCGCCUCUUUGUGUUUAUCACAGGAUUUUUGGCUUCUUCCGCAAGGAGCUUCUCAGCUAAGGUUUCACUGAUAUCAAACACCCAUUCUGGAACCUCGGGGCCCUGCAUGAGCCUGGAUUUAUAGUUUUCUCGUCGCCGCCUCUCUUCAUCCAUCUUCUCAAACAACCAGAACUCCUCCUCAGUUCGAGCAGCCAAACGAUUUAUUUCACGCUCACUAGGGAUGUCAGUUCCAAGUGUACUAGUCCCUCUCUUCAAGAUCUCCUGUAGCAAUGCUUUCCUAUCCUGAGCUG